RNAcentral lists this ribosomal RNA (253 nucleotides) under uncultured bacterium. RNAcentral's name for it is "partial 16S ribosomal RNA". It matches the Rfam family "Bacterial small subunit ribosomal RNA", at positions 524 to 776 of the family's 1533-position model. The record is from RNAcentral.
UACGUAGGCAGCAAGCGUUGUUCGGAAUUACUGGGCGUAAAGGGUGCGUAGGCGGAUUUGUAAGUUGGGUGUGAAAUCUCCCGGCUCAACUCGGAGGGUGCGCUCCAAACUGGAGAGCUAGAGUGCAGGAGAGGAGAGCGGAAUUCCUAGUGUAGCGGUGAAAUGCGUAGAGAUGCGGAGGAACACCGGUGGUGGAGGCGGCUGUCUGGACUGUAACUGACGCUGAGGCACGAAAGCGUGGGGAGCAAACAGU